Long non-coding RNA from Aedes albopictus (Asian tiger mosquito), 1778 nucleotides. RefSeq lists it as uncharacterized. The record is from RefSeq and is a predicted model, not a curated record. The transcript is spliced from 3 exons. Lineage: Eukaryota; Metazoa; Arthropoda; Insecta; Diptera; Culicidae.
UGUCAAUCAUAGUUACCUUCGUCCGUUCAAAAUUUCGUAAACAACAAGUGAAUACAGUUUUACCGUUUUACAGUCAUUUUUUUUUUUUGAAAGCGGAUUCCCGGAUACCGGAUCACCGAAUUAUUGUAUCUAUAUAGUGGACAACUGAAGAUCCCGUCUCUGUCCGAAAUGGUUUCCAGGGUGUCUGCUAUAAGAUGAAUUGGACCAGUAACAUUGAAAACCAAUUCCCCGGGAUUGAACAGAAUUAACAAUAAUUUCAAGGAAGACAGGACAUGUCCUGUAGGACGACAUUGUUGCUGAUUCUGCCAUCUUAAUUAUAAAUACAACUAGGCGGUGUCGGAAAGGUCUUCAGAACGGCAUGUAACAAAUGGGCUGCAUUCUAUAAAGUGACACGAUACUGGACAUGAACCUAUAAUUUAUUAAAGUGUAUUACCGCUCAUGUUUCGUAAAACAUUUGUAUUAAAACAAACAUCCUAGCUACAGUUUUUGAAAUUUAUUUUUUUUUUUAUGAUAAUACAAAUAUGUACAUUAUUCAGUUUAUCCAGCUUUUUACGCUGGAUGAGGGGUGAUUCGAUUUUGACAAUUCUUGCCGACAGCCCUUGCAGCAUCAGAUCUCAUCAGAGUAGCCAAAAAUUUCAGUUCAACUGAUGCAAAAUGUCAAAAAAUUUCACUUUGUAUUUUCAAGUGUCUAUGUUUGAAUUAAAUAAAAGCCUUUUCUAUCAUUUUAGGUUUGCGAUGGCCACUACCACAAAUCGAAUCGAAAAUGCCGAUGAAAGAAUUCGCAAGUUGAUGGCGGAACAACAAAUGAUGUUGUUUAAACAGCUGCAAGUGCAUCAAUCCACUACAAACCCAACCCACUUGGCGAUCAAAAAUAUCCGUACACUCGUUACCCUCAUUCAGUACCAAACUACCCGAAUCUAUGGCCGAAUUUAAUUCCUUGGGUCGUUCUUGCUAUUCAUGCUAAUCCCCAUUCAAUACAAGCUCCUUAUAUGAUGUCGUUUUUUAGUAGACUCCUAAAAAAUAGAACAGUUUUUUGUAGGUCUAAUUGCCGGAAGAUAGGUCACAAAAUGUGAUCAUUCUGUAUCAUAACGACUCCUUCAUGAGGUUUUUAUGGUAAAAUUUUUAAAUUCCAAAAAUGAUAUAAGCAUUAUUUAGCUUUGUGUGUAACGUUUUCCUAAUCACUCCAUCCGCUAACUCACUGUAUCAAAAUGGAAUUGGUCAAUUCAAUGUAUGUAAAUUGAAACUUUUUUCGAAUGAGAAUCUCAGGCAUUAAAAAAAACAAACUAGGUCAAGUUUGGCAGUCCAAUUUUUUCAACCCUUCAGGAAGCGCGCCGUUGUAAAAGCGCGCCUUCUGAAAGGUUGAAUAGACAAAGACAUAAUAGUUGAAAUAGCUGCAACAUUUUUUUUAAUGUAGGAAAAGUUUAUGCUGCCGAGCGAGUUGGGUAUUUGUCCAGUUUGAAGUGGAUUCAUGAAGUUGCGGCCAUAAAUGAUUUGGUAUUUCGACAUCAGGUAGCUAUUUCCCUUCACCGCAUGUUCUAUUCCAUGUGUUGCGGUUUUACAAAUGCUGGUGGCCAUCACAAACCUAAAAUUAAAGAAAAACCAUUACUUUUUCAUACAUAAACUCUUGUAAACCUUUGUAAACAUCCAAGAUGAAAAUUUUUGACAUUUUGCUGGAGUUGAACUGAAAUUUAUCGGCUACUAUGAUGAGCUCUGAUGCUGCAAGGGUUGUCGGCAAGAAUUGUCAAAGUUGGAUCACCCCUCAUCAUAGCGUAAAAAGC